RNAcentral lists this ribosomal RNA (483 nucleotides) under uncultured bacterium. RNAcentral describes it as "partial 16S ribosomal RNA". It matches the Rfam family "Bacterial small subunit ribosomal RNA", at positions 29 to 523 of the family's 1533-position model. The record is from RNAcentral.
AACGAACGCUGGCGGCGUGCUUAACACAUGCAAGUCGAACGAUGAAGCCGGAGCUUGCUCCGGUGGAUUAGUGGCGAACGGGUGAGUAACACGUGAGCAAUCUGCCCUUGACUCUGGGAUAACUGCGGGAAACUGUAGCUAAUACCGGAUACGACACCUUGGGGCAUCCCAGGGUGUGGAAAGAAUUUCGGUCAAGGAUGAGCUCGCGGCCCAUCAGCUAGUUGGUGAGGUAAUGGCUCACCAAGGCGACGACGGGUAGCCGGCCUGAGAGGGUGACCGGCCACACUGGAACUGAGACACGGUCCAGACUCCUACGGGAGGCAGCAGUGGGGAAUAUUGCAGAAUGGGCGAAAGCCUGAUGCAGCAACGCCGCGUGAGGGAUGAAGGCCUUCGGGUUGUAAACCUCUUUUAGCAGGGAAGAAGCGAAAGUGACGGUACCUGCAGAAAAAGCACCGGCUAACUACGUGCCAGCCGCCGCGGUAA